This 427-nucleotide ribosomal RNA is filed under the name uncultured bacterium. RNAcentral's name for it is "partial 16S ribosomal RNA". It matches the Rfam family "Bacterial small subunit ribosomal RNA", at positions 355 to 774 of the family's 1533-position model. The record is from RNAcentral.
UGGGGAAUAUUGGACAAUGGGCGAAAGCCUGAUCCAGCCAUGCCGCGUGUGUGAAGAAGGUCUUCGGAUUGUAAAGCACUUUAAGUUGGGAGGAAGGGCAUUAACCUAAUACGUUAGUGUUUUGACGUUACCGACAGAAUAAGCACCGGCUAACUCUGUGCCAGCAGCCGCGGUAAUACAGAGGGUGCAAGCGUUAAUCGGAAUUACUGGGCGUAAAGCGCGCGUAGGUGGUUUGUUAAGUUGGAUGUGAAAUCCCCGUGCUGAACCUGGGAACUGCAUUCAAAACUGACUGACUAGAGUAUGGUAGAGGGUGGUAGAAUUUCCUGUGUAGCGGUGAAAUGCGUAGAUAUAGGAGGGAACACCAGUGGCGAAGGCGACCACCUGGACUAAUACUGACACUGAGGUGCGAAAGCGUGUGGAGCAAACA